Molecule: transfer RNA, 71 nt
Filed under: Loxodonta africana (African savanna elephant)
Lineage: Eukaryota; Metazoa; Chordata; Mammalia; Proboscidea; Elephantidae
Rfam family: tRNA
About the family: Transfer RNA (tRNA) molecules are approximately 80 nucleotides in length. Their secondary structure includes four short double-helical elements and three loops (D, anti-codon, and T loops).
Source: Rfam by way of RNAcentral
GCAGCGGCGGUUCAGUGGUAGAACCCUAGCCCUCCAUGCCGGAGACCCAGGCACAAUUCCUGACCAUUGCA